Molecule: ribosomal RNA, 617 nt
Filed under: Cronobacter sakazakii
Lineage: Bacteria; Pseudomonadati; Pseudomonadota; Gammaproteobacteria; Enterobacterales; Enterobacteriaceae
Description: bacterial SSU rRNA
Rfam family: Bacterial small subunit ribosomal RNA
Source: RNAcentral
GGAAACAGCUUGCUGCUUCUGCUGACGAGUGGCGGACGGGUGAGUAAUGACUGGGAAACUGCCUGAUGGAGGGGGAUAACUACUGGAAACGGUAGCUAAUACCGCAUAACGUCGCAAGACCAAAGAGGGGGACCUUCGGGCCUCUUGCCAUCGGAUGUGCCCAGAUGGGAUUAGCUAGUAGGUGGGGUAACGGCUCACCUAGGCGACGAUCCCUAGCUGGUCUGAGAGGAUGACCAGCCACACUGGAACUGAGACACGGUCCAGACUCCUACGGGAGGCAGCAGUGGGGAAUAUUGCACAAUGGGCGCAAGCCUGAUGCAGCCAUGCCGCGUGUAUGAAGAAGGCCUUCGGGUUGUAAAGUACUUUCAGCGGGGAGGAAGGGAGUAAAGUUAAUACCUUUGCUCAUUGACGUUACCCGCAGAAGAAGCACCGGCUAACUCCGUGCCAGCAGCCGCGGUAAUACGGAGGGUGCAAGCGUUAAUCGGAAUUACUGGGCGUAAAGCGCACGCAGGCGGUUUGUUAAGUCAGAUGUGAAAUCCCCGGGCUCAACCUGGGAACUGCAUCUGAUACUGGCAAGCUUGAGUCUCGUAGAGGGGGGUAGAAUUCCAUGUGUAGCG